This is a long non-coding RNA of Astatotilapia calliptera (eastern happy), 1898 nucleotides long. Lineage: Eukaryota; Metazoa; Chordata; Actinopteri; Cichliformes; Cichlidae. The record is from Ensembl.
CAAAAAGUUAAGUAAAUAAUGAAACAAGGUAGAGGAGAGAAAACCCCAACAAUCCCCUCUGAGCACGCACUAGGCGACAGUGGGGAGGAAAAACUGCCUUUAAACGGGCAGAAACCUCCGGCAGAACCAGGCUCAGGAGGGGACAGUCAACUGCCGGGACUGGUUGGGGAGGUGAACAGAGGUGGAGCAAGACGAGGCUACACCUGCUGAGGAAGCAGUAGAGUUCCUCCUCCAGGGCCAGCGGAAGCGUUUGUUCUUCUUUUUCAUGCAGUUUUCUACAAGAGCUUUUUUUUCCAGGAUGAGGGUUCUCAACUCAUCGAUGGUUUCUUUGUUUUGUUUCUCAAGCUUCUUGCACGUUUUCUCCACCUCUUCCAACGUUGCUUGUUUUUCUUCAAGCUUUUCCCUGAGCUCUUUGGAUGUUUCCUCCUGCAUUAUCUUGUCCUUGUGCAUGUCUGCGUUUCUUUGUUGUACUUCUUUGUACAUGUCUUGUAGCUCCUCAUUUCUUUUGUGGAUAUCUUGGAGCGUACGCUGCAGGUCGUCAUGUAUGUUGUCUUGUUCUUGCUUUUGCGCCUGCAUUUCAGUGUGUUUGCGCUUCAAGUUGUUGUAUUCCAACAAUAUCCCCUUAGUGAGCUCGGAGUUGUUUCUUGCCAUUUGCUCCAUCCUUUUCUGCAUGUGCGAGCAUUGUUUGUCCAGUUUUUCUUUUUCCCCUUCUAGUUGCUUUUUCUCUUGAAGAAUGUCUUUGUUUUGGCGCAGAGUAUCAUCCACCUUCUCUUUCAGCAUUCUGUAUUUUUCCUCCGUGACUUUGAGUUUGUGCUCCAUGUCUCUUUGCCUUUUCUCCUGUUCUUCCUUCUGUUGGAGGAUUUCUUUAUUUUUUUUCACAGCUUCAUCGAAGUUUGUUUGGAGCAGCCGAUUCCUUUGGUCCAUAUAUUGGAGAUCCCAUUCUGUCUUCUCAACAGUAGCUUUGCUGUCUUUAAGCUGGUUGGACAUCUCCUUUAGUUCCACGCUCUUUUGCUUGUUUUCCUUAAUUAGGAAGACAAUCUGCUCUCGGGCUUGUCCAAACUUGAUUCCCCAACCCUCAUUAAUAAUAUUUAUGUCGGGCUGGCGUUUUUGUCUUUCUUCCAGGCUUUUAUAUUUCACUUCCAUCUGUCUACACUUCUCCUCCAGUUGAAGUUUCUCUUCUUCAAUCUGUUGAAUUUUAUUCUGGAGAUGGUAGUUUUCCUUCCUACUGUCAUGUAAUGCCCUUUGGACGGCUAAGAGGUCACUUGGCUGGCCACGACAGGAAGGAGAAGCGGCGUAAUCUUUUUGCCUUGGUUGGUGUCUUGUUGGAUACAUGUUGAAGGUUGUACACGACAACAACGAAAAGGUUUCCAAAAGUUUCUGUGGUGAACGCGUGAAGGCUGCAAACACAAAUGCUGCGAAGACACGAACUAAAAAACUGCUGUGUGUCACCCCUGUUUAAGGAAAAACUUCAAAGGAUCGUGUGGUGACAUCAUAACUCCGUGAGCCAAUGAGAUUGUCAUGUGACAUUUUGGAAUGGGGAUAUUUUUUUUUAAACCGUUUUCAAAUUUAACUUAAUAUUUGACUGUUUCUUAACUGACCUGUUUAGCUGAUUAAGAAAUGAAUUGAAACGAGCAUCACUAACGUUAUAUAACAGACAACAGAAAAAAACAGGGUUUUUUUCUAAGUAAUAGAGGUAUAAUACAUUUUUUUAAAUUUUUUUUUUAAUUAUCCUACUUUUUAUAAGAGGGAACCUUAUUUAAAGAAUAUGUAUUUAAUUGGAAAACUCUCUAUUCGUCUAAAGGCUAUAACAAGAAAGGUGAGCUUCCUGCUCAAAAAUGAAAUGACCAAAAUAAAUGGAGCAUUUCUCUGCAAUUACAAACUCUGUGUAAACAAUCUUG